AACAUGUAAACUAUCCUUCAUUUCUGAAGCACAUUGAUCUGGAAAACAUCCAGCCAUGUACACUAUCUACAAUAUCUCGCGUCCAUUUCAUAAGAACCUUUACAUAUAGGAAGCUAUACCGAAUGUUCCUCCAAGAAUAACAGCAACAUGCCUCCUCACCUGGAUUUUGUGCCUUGGUAACUCUUGGCUUCCAGGGUUGGAUAUGUCAAAUGUUGACUCUCGCUCCUCCAUCAACAUCGCUUUUCUUGUGCUCCAUGACCAUGGCGAUGGUGGCAGGGAUUGCUGCUCUGGUGAUGGUCGGGAAAAGACUUCUGUCAAGCUUGCGGUUUUGUUGAGGGCCUUAAACACGUGCCUACUGGUGCCUACUUGAACCCACAUGCACACAUUCGUUCAUAUUGAUGACGCCUACCUAUCCUCGGUACUUUGUACUAUACACGCAUUGAUUAAUCCAGUUUCUCUCGGCAGAAACUAGACUCCUUUGGAUAACCUUUCUGAAAGACAUUUCGCCUCAGAUCUACUCUGAUUUAAAUAGAACCACGAACGUUCAGUUUGAGCGUAACAGACAGGAGCGGAGUCACCGAUUCCUUAAUGUCCUCAUAAAAAGCCGGCGGAGAGUGAAAACGAGUUCGAUGAGAUUUGAAAUAUACGAAAUUGAAUGUUGUUCAUCAAAGUUCUAAAACCAUCGAUCCAGAAUAGAUUUCCAAAGUAUUAAUGUCGAUUUAGCAUAACGACUAACACAGCAAGUGACUCCUAUGGAUUGUCCAGAUCAUAGGUAAUCUCAUAGAACAUUGUUUUUGACCGACAUAUACAUGUAGAGCCGAAACCAAAGUAUGAAUAAAAAGCAAUCGAAGCGAGAAAUGGAUCCGAUAAACAAAGGAUAAUAAAUUGAUUGCCUAUAAAACAUUGUUGUCACACUUAGCGCAAUUGUGAUCAUUUUAUUAUGAUUG
This is a long non-coding RNA of Tigriopus californicus, 947 nucleotides long. RefSeq lists it as uncharacterized. The record is from RefSeq and is a predicted model, not a curated record. The transcript is spliced from 3 exons. Lineage: Eukaryota; Metazoa; Arthropoda; Copepoda; Harpacticoida; Harpacticidae.